Long non-coding RNA from Canis lupus familiaris (dog), 6278 nucleotides. RefSeq lists it as uncharacterized. NCBI's taxonomy places the organism in Eukaryota, Metazoa, Chordata, Mammalia, Carnivora, Canidae. The record is from RefSeq and is a predicted model, not a curated record. The transcript has 2 exons.
UAUUAGGGAGAGACCUCCCUAGAGAGAGCACAAGCAGGGGGAGACAGAGGCAGUGGCAGAGAUGAGAGGGAGAAGCAGGCUCCCCACUGAGCAGGCUGGAUCCCGGGAUCAUGAUCUGAACCAAAUCGAAGCCCAGUGCUUAACCAGUGCUUAACCGAUUGAGCCAUCCAGGUGCCCAAGAUAGAGACAUUAAAGCCAAGAAAGCUAUAAAAAUAAAUCUUAGUACCUUGUGCUAACCUACUACCUCAGCACAAAUUCAGCUUAGAAUUCUUUACCAAUUGGGGGUCCCUGGGUGGCUCAGCAGCUCAGGACCUGCUUUUGGUCCAGAGCAUGAUCCUGGAGACCCGGGAUCGAGUUCGGCGUCGGGCUCCCUGCAUUGAGUCUGCCCGUGUCCCUGGGUCUCUCAUGAAUAAAUAAAUAAAAUCUUAAAAAAGAAAAAGAAUUAUUUGCUAAUUAGAGCCCCCAAACACCUCUUUUUUCCUUGUCCUGUAAAUUCCUCACAAAUGUAUUGUCUCGUUGUCUAAAACGUACAAAAACUGCCUGCCUAGGUCAUUUUUUUGAGUCUUGAUUUUAUUAUUGGGCUUUGUGGGCACAUAACAAAGAUUUGGGUUUUUUUUUCUUCUGUUAACUUGUCUCCUGUAAAUUGAAUUCGUAGUCCAGCCAGGAACACCCUGAAGGUAGAGGAAGAAUUUUUCCUUCCAGGUAGUUGGCAUAACUACCUUAGUGGGCAAGAUCUUUUCAUUUGUGGGGGCAACUGCUUGCCCCAGACACUGCCCCCACCGAGCUCCUGGGGCAUCUGACAAUACAGCUGGCAGCAGGUAAGAUCAGCCUUCUGGAAUCUGUCUGCAGGUAAGUUGGGUUUUUUGUUGUUGUUGUUGUUGUUGUUGUUGUUUUUUACCAUGUCAGCCUUCUGGAAUCUCUGUCUGCAGAUUCCAGACUUCUGGGAAUCUCUGUCUGAGUCUCAGAAUGGUGAGAAUCUUUUUUACUCUCUAAAUUCAGAUUAGCAGGAGAAAAUAUUGUGGACCUGGCUCCUUGGGCUUAGCAACUCUUAGGACAAAUUUGGCAGCACACUCUUUGGUUGCUGAUCCAUUUUUGUCCCAGAGAUUGUCUUUGUUGGUCUGUGUCUUCUGUGCCCUGUGUUCAAAAAAAGGAAUUACCAAGGGCAGGCACACCCUAGAAGCCUGAUUUUUCCAGCUCGCCUCACAGACUGAUCAGUUCACAGUUCUCACCAGACCAGGGUCUGUUGGAGCAAACUUUGCUGAGAGUUCCCUAUAUAAAAACCAGAUGAAGUUUUUCCUUUUGUCUUGUUUUGUGUUCUAAGAGCUUGGCUUUGUGACCAAUGAGAACAUUGUCUCUGGUCUCCAUCAUCCGGAGGGUGCACUUACUGGGGUGCACCUUGGUGCCCAAAUAGGCUAGGGAUCCUAGACACUCAGUUACAAAAAGCACCCUCAAAAAAAAAAAAAAAAGCACCCUCAGUUGAGCAGCUGCCUUCAUUCACCUCAAGUCAUGAUCCCAGAGUCCUGGGAUCUAGCCCUGUGUCCCCGCGUCAGGGUCCCUGUUCAGUGGGGAGUCCGCUUCUCCCUCUCCUUCUCUCCUGUUUGUGCUCUCUCUGUCACAUAAGCAAAAUCUUUCAAAACAAAAGGAAAAGCACACUCUGUCCCUCUGUGUCACCUCUCAGGAGAGUUUAUCGUAAGGAAUCUGAGCCCAUAGGGGGCACUUAUCACCUCAACCUUUGUUGCAGGUUAGUGCUGACAAAAUCCCAUUCCCCUACUGCCCAGUGUCACAGAUUAGUGGGUCUGUGACUGGAGGCAUCUCAGAUUUGUGGGAGACCAGAGACACAGUGUUCACCACAUCAUGCUUACCACUUAUGAAACCAAGGUCUAAGAAAAGACUAUUUUGUGGGAAUAAACUUUUAGGUCAGGAGGACUUUAUCAUCUGUGCCUUCUCUGAAUGCCACUUACAUUUUUGGUUAAGCCAUUAAAAAGCUUAUUGGUUUGAGUCACUACUAAAAUUAAUAAGAUCCUCUCCACCAAUGACCAGAUGAUAGAUCCUUUAAAUUGGCUAUAUUUAAAUAAGUAAAUAAAUAUUCUUUAUCGAGAGCUCUGAAUUGUCUUAUUAGAAUAACUACUAACCUUAGGUGAUGUGAUAUGGUGUGAUGUGAUGUGAUGUGAUGUGAUGUGAUGUGAUGUGAUGUGAUGUAAUGUGACGUGAUGUGAUGUGACGUGAUGUGAUGUUUGGGGUCCAGGAGUGAAGAGUCAAGAAAGGAUUCUUGAGACGUCUUCAGUGCAGAAAAAAGAUGGUUUUAUUAAAGCAUGGGGAAAGGACCCGUGGACAGAAAGAACUGCACUAGGGUUGUGAGGAGUGGCUGAUUAUGUACUUCUAAGUUGGGAGGGGGUUAGGGAUAGCAUAAGUCUCUAAGGAAUUUGGGAACAAAAUUUUGCAGGACCUUGAGAGGCUAGCUGCUGUUAUAAGAUCAUUGACUAUUGUCUAGUAAACCCUUGGUCAUGAGACCCCUCACAUGUGUAUCAGUGGGCCAUGUGCUUGGAGGAUGAUUGCCAACAGGGAUCUUGGGGAAGUUUCCAAAGGGUUUUUUAUAUGGUAAAGUCUACAGGAUCCUAGAGGUCAGGCUAAUGUCAAGCUAAGGUUGCCUUUUGCCUUUAGCAAGGUAUUAAUGAUGAAGUUUUGAAAUAUAGGUGAGGUUUAGUGGGGUGAGGUCCAGAGCCAACGACCAAGAAAGAAUUCUUGAGACAUCUUUGGUGCAAAAUGGUAGUUUUAUUAAAGCCCAGGGACAGGACCCGUGCGCAGGAAGAGUGGCUGCCCCGGGCCUGUGGGGGUGGCUAAUUAUAUACCUGGCAGUGGAGAAGGGUUUGGGGAGAGCAUACUCUCUAAUGAAUUUUGGAAAUAAGGUUUCCAGGACCUUGGGGGGGCUAGCUCUUGUUGGGGAAAGGUCACUUAUUACUGUCUAAUAAAACCUGAAUCAUGAGACCCUUCAGCUGUGUAUCCGUGGGCCAUGUGCUUGGGGGAUGGUUGCCAACAUGUAUGUUGUGGGGUAGAGAUAAAGGAACUUUCUAAAGGAAUUUUUAUAUGUUAAAGUAGACUCACAGGCUCCCGGGGGUCGGGCUAAGAUUGCCUUCUGCCCUUAGCAAAGUAUGAACAUCGAGGCAGUUGAGUCUGUAGAGGAAUGUCACUCUGCCUAUUUCAAGGACUUGUCAACGUGCUUUGUCCUCAGCUAGUCCUCUGUUCCCUCAUCAUUCACAUGAGGCAGUUGAGUUCCUGGAGGAAGGUCACCCUGCCUGUCUUAAGUACUUGCGAAGGAGCUCGCAGUUGUAGGGAAAUUUCAUUUUUCCACAUUUCUUUUGCCUUUGUUCUUCACAUCAUUAAGGGACUCCCUUGGAAAGAUACAAGAACAAAAAUUCAACUUACGACAAAUAAAUGUCCACAUCCAAUGAAAAUUCACCUUCUUAAAAUCUAGCCCCAUUUGCCGGUUUUAACUUCCUUUUCCCUACAAGAUUUGCAGACAGCACUCCAGCCUAACCUCUGGGUUCGAAGUAUACAGUCUACUCUUACAAAUGCUGAGAGCCAGAAAGUGAAUUUAGCAGUAGCUCCUGGGACUCAUGGUAGGGCUCACUUUGCUUUAAUCAGGCUCUGGCAGCUUCAGGCAUUUCUGUGCAGUGACCCUUACAGAUGUAUCUUACAUACACACCCCACACACACAACCGUGAAGGAUUCCUAUCCCUUGACCAACAGCAGAUCUUUUAAGUGGUAAAGCCCUUGUUCCUCCACUUUCAGAAGAUCCUACCAAAUUUAGAAAAGAAUUUUUAUUUUCUUAUGUUUAAAGAUUUUAUUAUAUUUUUUUAAGUAAUCUCUAGACCCAAUGUGGGCCUUACACUCAACCCCAAGACCAAGUCAAGUGCUCCAUUCACUGAGCCAGCCAGGCAGGCGCCUCAGAGAGGAUUUUUUUUUCUAAUUAGUGGCUUUAAAAAAAACUUAAUAAAGAAAUUUUUGAGAUAAAUAAAAAUUAAUGGCUAUUCACAACUGCACUCUCGGAGACCUUGACUGGCUGGGCUGGGUGCUCUUGUGGCCGGGGAUUGAUAGAUAACGCUGCGGUUAAUUUGGCCCUAGAAGAAUGCCUCCCCUCCUUCACAGAAGAGACAGGACCAAAAUUUCUCCGCAGCCCUCCUACAAAUGAUCUCCAAAAGGCCAAUAUUCAGAGACUAAUAGAAGCCAACAUUAAAUUGUAUACUCAAAAGGAAGGCUUUUGUUAAAAUGCUUUAUGGAUUUUGCAUAAAUCUUUCAAUUCCCAUUUUUGCUAAAAAUCUCCCUGGUUUAAGCAAAAAAAAAGUUGGGGCGCCUGGCUGGCUUAGUCAGUGGAGUAUGUGACUCUUGGUCUUAGGGUUGUGAGCUUGAGCCCAGCACGGGGUGUGGAACCUACUUUUAAGGAAAAUUUUAAAAAGUAGGCCAAUAUUCUGAUAUUCAGGCAGUGCUUUGGGGAAAUUAAAAACAAUCACCUUUGUUUUGCAAAUCUAUCCGAAACCAGAAAUACUACUCAAUACUACUCUCAAAAAAGGUCAAAGCUCAUCUACCUUUAUUAAUCUUAAAACCUCCUCUAGAGGGAUCCCUCGGUGGCUCAGCUGUUUAGCGCCUGCCUUCAGCCCAGGGCGUGAUCCUGGGAUCCCAGGAUUGAUUCCCGCAUCAGACUCCCUGCCUUAAGCCUGAUUCUCCUCCCUCUACCUGUGUCUCUCAUGAAUGAAUAAAUAAAAUCUUAAAAAAAAAAAAAAACCCUCCUCUAUUUCUCUCAAAAUGUUUAUAGAUAUUAUAUAGAUCUAUAAUAAUAUAGAUAUUAAAGAUCAGAUUAUUGGAACAGAAUUGUCCUGUACUUAAGGGAAAAGAAAAGGUAAACUUUAGAUGGCAAAUACCCUGAAACUCGAAGGAAAAAAAAAAAAACAACUUUCAUUCCUUCUCAGUCCCUUAAAGUUAUAAAUCCUAUUAUAUCUUUGAAAUGUGAAUAUAGCAUACCAGCGCCUGGAACAGAAGAAAAAAAGGGGGAGAGGAGGCCUUUUCAAAAUACAAACUGCUAUAAAGGCAGUUGAGUUCCUGGAGGAAGGUCACUCAGACCUAGCAGACCGGUUAGAAGUGCUCAGACUCUAGCACUUCUAAUAACAGGCAGUUCUGCUCCAAAUACCCACCUUGGGGGAAACUUAGAUAUGUUCUCUAUGCCUUUUUGAUAUAAAUUUUCUUUUUUUUUAAGAUUUUAUUUACUUAUUAAUGAGAGACACAGAGAGAGGCAGAGACACAAGCAGAGUCGGAGAAGCAGGCCACAAGCAGGGAGCCCGAUGUGGGACUCGAUCCUGGGACUCCAGGACCACAUCCUGGGCCAAAGGCAGGUGCUAAACCCCUGAGCCACCAGGGCUGCCCUGAUAUAAAUUUUCUACCCUCAUCUUCUCUAGGAACUAAGAGCCAUUCUUCAAAAUGCAAACUUCAGGAAAAGUUUUUUAUCAGGAGAAAAAAAAAGAGAGGGGGGGGGUAUUUGGAUAUCGGGUCUAUAGUGUCCUCUUCACAAAUAUUAAUAAAAACCAAAGCUUUAAAGUUUGGAGGCCAGACCCACGGUCCCUGAACCUGUUUUGAAAGCAUAAGAAGCAUGAGCAGAACUAUAGUUGUAUUAGUUGCAUUAUUAGCUCUGUCUUCUGUUUUGUUCUCUACCUAUAAUUAAUGUUUUACGUACCCCUUAACCUCGUGCACGAUGGAUCAUUACCUUUGCCUCUUUAUCCCCACUCCCUGUUUAUCCACUGCCUGGAUAAAGUAAUAAAGCUUUACUUCAAAACCUGUACCUCAGACAUCGGUGUGUUGCACAUCAGGUGCACAGGUUUGAGUAUGGUAACAAUUUUUGUUUGCAUCUGUCUGGGUAGGACUAUAUAUCUAUAUCUAUACCUAUUUAUAGAUUUAUAGAUAUAUAUACCCAGUCAUACCCAGAUAGAUUGAUCGAUUUGAUAUGAGAUAUUUUCUUUACCUCCAGAUGGUGUUGCUAAAAUUAAUCUGUGAUAGAGUUUUAUUUACUUGGUUUGAAGGCAAAUGCUUGUGUAAGAUUUGGGCAUUCUAAAUUCUCAGAAAGUGAGAGACUCAAAUAUUUUUCGAAUUCACAUGAUCUGGGAAAAUAUUUGGUACUAAAGCUAAUUUAAGGUUGUUGGUUUAAUUAAAAUAGAAAUGUCUAAAUGUUAUCAACAUUAAAACUAAAACUUUGCUUGUAAAUUCAGUAAAUAAAAAAAAAAACCUAAAACUUU